AGAUCAUUUUGGGGACAAUUCCUUAGUAACCCCUUAUACCUUUCCCAUGCUUCAUAUAAAUAUUCUCCUACUUGUUGCUCGAAAUUGGAAAUGGCUUUCUUGAGUUU
Lactuca sativa (garden lettuce) is the source of this 107-nucleotide small nucleolar RNA. NCBI's taxonomy places the organism in Eukaryota, Viridiplantae, Streptophyta, Magnoliopsida, Asterales, Asteraceae. The record is from RefSeq and is a predicted model, not a curated record.